Molecule: ribosomal RNA, 371 nt
Filed under: uncultured organism
Description: bacterial SSU rRNA
Rfam family: Bacterial small subunit ribosomal RNA
Source: RNAcentral
CAUGUGGGGCAAGCGUUGUUCGGAAUUACUGGGCAUAAAGGGUGCGUAGGCGGCUUGUUAAGUCAGGGGUGAAAGUUUUCGGCCCAACCGGAAAAUUGCCUUUGAUACUGGCGAGCUCGAGUGCGUGAGGGGUAACCGGAACGAGUCGUGUAGCGGUGAAAUGCGUAGAUAUGACUCGGAAGGCCAACGGCGAAGGCAGGUUACUGGUACGCAACUGACGCUGAGGCACGAAAGCGUGGGGAGCAAACAGGAUUAGAUACCCUGGUAGUCCACGCCGUAAACGAUGAGCACUAGGUAGGUGCCGAGCUAUUCGGUGCCUGCCGCAGGUAAUUUGGUAAGUGCUCCGCCUGGGGAGUAUGGUCGCAAGGCUG